GGCCCCGUAGCUCAGAUGGAUAGAGCAACAGCCUUCUAAGCUGUAGGUCGCCCGUUCGAAUCGGGCCGGGGUCG
Molecule: transfer RNA, 74 nt
Filed under: Candidatus Omnitrophota bacterium
Lineage: Bacteria; Pseudomonadati; Candidatus Omnitrophota
Description: Candidatus Omnitrophica bacterium (sediment metagenome) tRNA-Arg
Rfam family: tRNA
About the family: Transfer RNA (tRNA) molecules are approximately 80 nucleotides in length. Their secondary structure includes four short double-helical elements and three loops (D, anti-codon, and T loops).
Source: RNAcentral